RNAcentral lists this non-coding RNA (215 nucleotides) under Jeotgalibacillus campisalis. Its description in RNAcentral is "T-box sequence". It matches the Rfam family "T-box leader". Rfam says of the family: Uncharged tRNA acts as the effector for transcription antitermination of genes in the T-box leader family. T-boxes are found upstream of many aminoacyl-tRNA synthetase genes and some amino acid biosynthetic genes usually in Gram-positive bacteria. The record is from RNAcentral. Lineage: Bacteria; Bacillati; Bacillota; Bacilli; Caryophanales; Caryophanaceae.
GUAAAAACAAUGACGGAAAGUAGUAACAACUGAUCCCUUUUCUUAGAGAGCCGGUGGGUGGUGUAAAUCGGCAAAAGGAUGUUGUGAAUCCAUUCCUGAGUGAAGAGCCGAAUGUACAAGUAAGCUCUUCCGGUCGACGCCGUUAGGUCAUGAGCGGAAGAUGCUUUUUAUCUUCAAUCAGGGUGGUAACGCGGGCAUCAACUCUCGUCCCUUUU